UUAAACAAUCUAGUAAUUAUUUAUUUAUCGAAUACAUGAACAUGUUUUAAUAUAAACAUAACUGUUUACAGUUAAAAUAAAAUGCGUAUAUCUAAAUAUAAUUGUCAUUUUUAAAAACUCAUUAAAUAUGUUAUAGAUUUUACAAAUCUCCUUUUUUAAGUAGAUCUGGGCAGUUGUCUAUUACAUCCAUUAUAGUAAUAAAUCACACACAAAAAAAACAAUGCAAAAAAA
Biomphalaria pfeifferi is the source of this 231-nucleotide non-coding RNA. The record is from the annotation of a GenBank genome assembly. NCBI's taxonomy places the organism in Eukaryota, Metazoa, Mollusca, Gastropoda, Planorbidae.